This 1014-nucleotide long non-coding RNA is filed under the name Brachypodium distachyon (stiff brome). RNAcentral describes it as "long non-coding RNA (BDIS_LNC003694)". Lineage: Eukaryota; Viridiplantae; Streptophyta; Magnoliopsida; Poales; Poaceae. The record is from RNAcentral.
CAUUGUCGACCAUUUCAACUAGAGAGACAUAUCGUCCCAUCAAUCAAUUUUACAUGCAUGCAUCAAUCUGCCUCCAGCACCAGCAGGCACACGUCGACUUAAUUAGCCGGAGAAGGUCUGGAUGAUGGUGUUGUGCCACGGGUCAGACAGGUGCUGGAACAGGUUGUCGAGCGGCCCUUUUCCGGUGACCGCGUGCUGCACCGAGAAACCCAGGUACGCCAGCAUCGCCAGCCUCCCUACAAAAUCACAAAACGACCAAUUAAAUUCCUUUUCCGUUUGAGAUCUGGCCGUAGGAACUACUCCAGUAACUGGAAGAAGGGCAUGUAUGUACCGUUGGCGAUCUCCUUCUCCUUGGCCUCGAGCGUGGGCGCGAAGUUGAGCGGGUUGAAGACGCUGCCGGGGUAUCCGCACUCGUGGGGCGGCAGGCUGUAGCUCUUGAAGAUGGGGUCCUGGUUGACGCAGCCGGGCUCCUUGAUGUCCUGCCACCGCCGGAUCUCCACGUAGUGGAACAGGAUGAACUCCACGACGAAGAGCGUGGAGGAGGAGGCGAAGUAUGUGGACUUGCCGGCGUCGUACCACUCGGGGGCGUUGAUGAGGCCGAUCUUGGUCAGCAGCUCCGGCGUCAGCAUCCCCGCCACGCCCAGCAUCGCCCACCGCCCGUUCACCAGCUCCGCCUGCACGUACCACCGCAGGUUCUCCGGGUCCUCCGCCAGCCCCAACGGGUCGAACCCGUUGUCACCCGGCAGCCUGCGUCAAAUUAAUUAAUAUGCAUGUGUGUAAGCACCACUGACAGUGUUCGUUAAAUAUUUGGCCGGUUUUAUUGUAUGGAAUGUGCCAACUUACUUGCCGUCGAGGUAUGCAGGGGAGGGGAGGCCGGGGAGCCACUCGCCCUUGGCCUCCACCCGGAGGCUGCGCCGGCUUGUCGAGGAGGCGAGGCCAAGGCGGCUGGAGUGUCCGAGGAAGCCGGAGUUGAGCGACGCCGACGGGCGCAAGGCCGCCACGGGGGCGCGGGCG